Neogobius melanostomus (round goby) is the source of this 2250-nucleotide long non-coding RNA. NCBI's taxonomy places the organism in Eukaryota, Metazoa, Chordata, Actinopteri, Gobiiformes, Gobiidae. The record is from Ensembl.
GUCCUGGCAAGGCAAGUUUAUUUGUAGAGCACAAUUCAUACACAAGGCAAUUCAAAGUGCUUCACAGCUGCAUAAAAUUACAAGAAAACAGAUCAAUCAAUAAAACAUAAAAUUAAUUUCAAUCAACAGUAAUUACUUUUAAGGGGAGUACAGUUUAGACUUGAGGCAGUUAUGUGAAUGUGAAUCUAUAUUUGAUGUUUUCUAUUUGCUUUUUCAUAUAAUCGUUCCUCUUCUGUGUUAGAAACGCAUGCAGCAGAUAGUGACCCAGUGCUUUCUGUCGGUCAAAUCCAAGCUGGACUGCAGACCGGGCUUCUUCGACCUGAUCGGCUGUGACUUCAUGAUCGAUGAGGACUUUAACGUAGGCGCUGAGAUAAUAUUCCUUUUUAUUUACCUAUUGUCUCUUGUGUGUAAUCUGUUUGCGGUGUUUUCAGGUGUGGCUGCUGGAGAUGAACUGUAACCCUGCUCUCCAUACAAACUGCUCAGUGCUGGAGGAGGUCAUCCCCAGCACUGUCCACGAGACGCUGGAUAUAACUUUGGAGAUCUUUAAUAAGUGCCGCUGUCGACAAAGCAUCUUCCCUCUGUUGACGCAGAAGAACUCUGUGUUGCUGUUCAAAGGUGUUUUUCCACCUAAUGCUGUUCUGCCGUGUGACAGAAGCAGGGCAGCUACGUACGGUGAGCGCUCUCUGAAGACCAGCUUGAAGCACUAGAAGGAGGGGCCCGUGAGGUGGCAGUCAGGCCUCCAGUGCAAGUCGUGCGUUGGCAGGAGGCGAGGGAAAGCCAAUGCUCCGCAGCUCACGAAGGCCCAGGAGGAAGAAGGUCUCACCAAUGUUAAUCAUUCACACCUCGACAACAGUGCCACGUGUGAAACCAACAGAAUGGACAGAAGGAAAACUUGCAACAUGAAUAAACAAGCAGUUCAAACCAUAGUCAGAAAGUAGGAACACUGACCCCAUUAUGUUAACCCAAACCGCACUCGUGACUCAUGUGUGAACACCUGGUGCUGUCCUGGGCCACAGGAAACCGCAAGCAGGAAGUAAAAUAUAAAACAAAAAUCUUUCAUGUCUUUAGUUUUCUAAUUAAAUAAAGUUUAUCUCACCUGACUCAGUGAAUUUUCUUGACAGGAGAGACUUGGACUCUUACUACUGCAACAUUUGUACUAAAAAACGUUUUUAUUUUAUUUAACCAGGAAGUCCCUUGAGAUAAAUCUCUUUUCCGAGGGAGAUCUGGCCAAGAGGUGCCGGUAACAAAUAUGAAACAAAUAACAUAACAUAGCAGCAAAAGAUAAUGUGGCAACGAUGGCGCAGAGAGUAGAGCGGGUCGUCUUAUGUGUCAGGUGCACACUGUCGUUGUGUCCUUGGGCAAGACACUUCACCCUCCUUGCCUCCAGUGUCUGUGUAUGUGGCAUGACGAGUGGUUAGGGUGUUUAGAAACUAAACAUAAUAUACUUGAAUAACUAAAAUACCAACAACGCCAGCUUGAAUUAACAAGCACUAAAGGACACACAGGUUCGUAAUUGAAUAAGAGGCAUAGACAGUUCCAUUACAAAAAAUAUAAGGUUUCAUUUAUUUACUUUGUGUUAAACUCAAUAAGUUAUUUGGAUUUCAUUUCCUUGUACCAAGUACCAUAAAAAACAGGUUUACGUUUCAGUUCCUUCUCAUGUUGGUUGUGACCAGCGUGGGCACAAUUGUUCAUUUACUUCUAUAAGAGUAUCCCAAUGGAUUGAUUACAGUGGAGGGAAACAACUCAGACGACAUGGGUACAGAGGUAAAAGGCGAGAAGGCGAGACAGCCAUGGUGUUGUGUGGAGACCUAUUAAAAAAAAAAAAGGAAACAUUAAGCUACAAAAUUAUCACUUACUCUUGCGUGGACCAAAACAAACACUGACGAAGGGCGAAGUGGUGCUUAAAAUAAAUUUCUUGGGAGCGCAACAGCGGUGCAGUUUUUAUUCUUUGAUUCCAAAACAAACACGUACCUCCUCCGAGCGCAGAGGCACGCGCUGUCAGGACCAAAACAACCGGAGGAACCCACACGGAGGACAAAAGCCAGGACAUCGGCCACCAUAGCCGGCCUCUGAACAUCGCGGCGCGGGCCGGAGCUAAAAGUGAUACAAUCGCCUGAUCACCAACUAUUUAAAGACACGGUAGUUACAAUAAAGAGAAUACUGAAUACCUGUGAGCCGCCCGCAGCUAACGCUCCGUGACUACCCGGAAGAGUGACGGUAAAGCUAAAGCAGGGGCUAUUUAUAUUUUAG